CCCAAGUCUAGUGGUAUAGCCUCCCUCCAUAUAAUAACGCAAAGAGAAGAGACACCUCUCUGGCGGUUACAAUCCAUCUAAAUGUCAUCUGCGGAUAUUCCAGUUGUUUUAAAGUGACAAGAAGCAAUAGAACUUCAAAUAACAAAAGCCUGUGCGACUUCCUUUUGCAAGUGAAAAGAGGUGACGUUGAGCAUAGAAUGGCACGCAUCAGCCUAGUUCAGCCGCAGCAUAGCUACCGUGGGAACCGGACGGCUGCGAUUGUAAGUUGUUGUCGCGCCUUGCUGGCCUGGAAACCACACAAGACGGAGGCUCCCCCAGCCAUACAGAGAUCACAUUUUUCGGGCAAAUUGCCAAGCAACAGUUUCAAGUUUUAAUGUCACAUGCACAAAGGUCCUAGAUGGCAGGGAGCUCGGUCCCAGUGAUGUACUGGUUUGUCCACACAACCCUCUUUAGCGCCAAGUGAUCAAGGGCGGUGCUGGUGUCAUACCAAGCAGUGAAGCAGCCAGUCAACAUGCUCUCAAUGGUACAGCUGUAGAACCUUUUCAGGAUUUUAGGUCCCAUGCCAAACUUUUUCAACCUCCUGAAGGGGAAGAGCCACUGUGAAGCCUUCUUCACGACUGUUUGUUUGUAUUUGGACCAUUUUAAGUCUUUAGUGAUUUGGACACCGAGGAACUUGAAACUGUCUACCUGCUCCACUGCCGUCCCAUCGAUGUGGAUAGGGGUGUGUUCGCCCCCCUGUUUCCUGUAGUCCACGAUCUGCUACUUGGUCUUGCUGACGUUGAGGGAGAGGUUGUUGCUGCAGCACCACACUGCCAGGUCACUGACCUCCUCCCUGUAGGCUGACUCAUCGUCGCCGGCUAUCAGGCCUACCACCGUUGUGUUGUCAGAGAACUUGAUGAUGGUGUUGGAGUCAUACGUGGCCACGCAGUCGUGGGUAAACAGGGAGAACAGGAGGGGACUAAGCACACACCCCUGUGGGGCCCCUGUGUUAAGGGUCAGCGUGGCAGAUGUGAUGUUGCCCACCCUCACCACCUGGGGUGGCCCAUCUGGAAGUCCAGGAUCCAGUUGCAGAGGGAGGUGUUCAGACCCCUUGACUUUUUCCACAUUUUGUUAAGUUACAGCCUUAUUCUAAAAUGUAUUAAAUAAUUGUUUUCCCUCAUCAAUCUACACACAAUACCCCAUAAUGACAAAGCGAAAACAGGUUUUUAGAAUUUUUUGCACAUUUUUAAGAAAUAAAAAAACAGAAAUACCUUACAUAAGUAUUCAGACCCUUUGCUAUGAGACUCAACAUUGAGCUCAGGUGCAUCCUGUUUUCAUUGAUCAUCCUUGAGAUGUUUCUACAACUUGGAGUCCACCUGUGGUAAAUUCAAUUGAUUAGACAUGAUUUGGAAAGGCACACACCUGUCUAUAUAAGGUCCCACAGUUGACAGUGCAUGUCAGAGCAAAAACCAAGCCAUGAUGUCAAAGGAAUUGUCCGUAGAGCUCUGAGACAGGAUUGUGUCGAGGCCAAGAUCUGGGGAAGGGUACCAAAACAUUUCUGCAGCAUU
Molecule: long non-coding RNA, 1547 nt
Filed under: Salmo salar (Atlantic salmon)
Lineage: Eukaryota; Metazoa; Chordata; Actinopteri; Salmoniformes; Salmonidae
Description: lncRNA (ENSSSAG00000088346.1)
Source: RNAcentral